Long non-coding RNA from Rhododendron vialii, 353 nucleotides. RefSeq lists it as uncharacterized. The record is from RefSeq and is a predicted model, not a curated record. The transcript is spliced from 2 exons. Lineage: Eukaryota; Viridiplantae; Streptophyta; Magnoliopsida; Ericales; Ericaceae.
UGCAUCUGAAGUACAUUACCCAUGAUUAAGAACACCUAGACAUAAAAAAACUCCUACGUCUUUUGUAAUAGCCUCUUCAAUAGUAAGAAGAGUUUCUUUAGCCAAACUUGCUCAAAAAGUUGUCUGGUAAAGGAGUAUACAAUAGUAGUAAGCACAAGUGAGAAAUUCAAAACUAAGAUAUUAUCCAGUCAAUAAGCCAUUUGAGUGCAUCUGAAGCACAUUGACCAUGAUUCAGAAGAACCUAGAACUAAACUAACCACUUUUCUUGGAAAAAAAAAAAGGUCGACAUUGGUCAAUAAAAAAUGAUUGGCAUUAAAACUCUGAUCACAAGCUUAACAUCCUUCCUACCCAGU